AUAAAUCUGUGUCCAGAAAAGACAUAAAGUUAUUCCAUGGUUUGCAGGGAGGACAUAGGACAAUCUAAAAUGCACCAUUCCGCAUAAUUCAUAACCGCAAUUUUCUUAGUUUUAUCUGCUGCUGGUAAAAAAAUUAGUAUGCCUGUUUUCCAACACAGACUUCUCCUACUCCAGUGACGUUUUAUAUACCAGACUAGGAAUUUCAACCCCUAACCCAUACACGAGACCUCACAGAAGCAAGAAGUCAAGUGGCCCGCCGAUGAAGACAGGAGUGGGCACAUGGUUGGGUCAGUAAGUAAAGUUUGCUUGCCACAGUGAGGGGCAAAAAUAAGGAAAAAAGUGACGGUGCAACACGUUCCAACACAUCUGCAUUGCUGCAGGGACAAGACAAUCUUGUGGAUAGUGGAGGGACCCCUAGUGUGGUAAAACAGAAGUCUCAAACCAUGGAAGGAAUUGUAGUUUGACAACAGCUGAA
Hyla sarda is the source of this 475-nucleotide long non-coding RNA. RefSeq lists it as uncharacterized. The record is from RefSeq and is a predicted model, not a curated record. Lineage: Eukaryota; Metazoa; Chordata; Amphibia; Anura; Hylidae. The transcript is spliced from 5 exons.